UCUGCAGAAAAAAUGAGAACUCUGUAGUUAAACCUUUCAAUCUCCAGCCUUCAUAUUUACUCUGACACUGGAACAGACACUGCUGCUGUAUCUGAGAAGCUCUCUGGUGUUUUCAGUUUAGAAUUAGAAGUUAGUCUUACGUUAUGUUUCUUUUGUGCAUCCCAGGCUAAUUAAGAAUCCAUUAACAUGAGAUGCUUUGCCACUUUUUAUUGGUCCUGAGCCUAGAGGUGUAGAAGAAGAUCCUUGAAAUUUAUUUCACCUUCUAACUGGAGUGUUUAGGGAAUUACCACUUCUGAAGUAAUACUCUAGUAACAGCAGUUAACCACUAAGAGAUUUGGAACAUACACGUCAAUAUAUUGUAAUAUAUGGAAGCUGCUAUCUCUGUAUUCAUGAUUUUCCUUCUGGUCUGAUUCCACGUUGUUCUUCGUAUAUAUUUAUAUUUGUAUAAAAUUGUCCUCAGACUGGGUGUGAUUGUUUCAUUUCCUUGAUCUGCUUUCAGAUGGAAAGCAAAACUUUCUUUACGUUCUUAGCCCACACAGUGAUUUUUUUAUUUUAUUUUUUUUUAAGAAAAAAAAAAAGAAAAGAGAUGUAGUAUAGCCCUGCAAGUUCUGUAUGGAAAAUAUCCAUCACUGUCACCUAAUUGCUGUAUUUUGCAGGAGAUUUAAAAAUAUGCCUGUAACAUAACCAAUUAGAGGAAAUGGAAAUACGGUAGAGGGUGUUCUUGCUGCCCUUCCUGCUACAUUAUUAAGCAAGUAAUGCUCAGCGUUCCUGUCCGUACUAUAGCUGGUAGAGAGCCCUGAGCCCUUUGAGGCCUUUCAGUCAAUAUGGAUUUGUGCAGCAAUGUAGGUAAGGCAUUUGUUUAGUAGUAGGCUGAACAACACAGAAAACCUCUAAGAAAUCAAAAAAAAACAAACAACAAAAAAAAAACAACAAACAGCACCUACUUCCAUUAAUUUUUUAGUCUUUUGCCUCUAAGCAAUUGAGAAGGAGAUCAGAAGUGAGAGGAGAAUUGAUGCUGUUCUGUGUUAUCUGGGAGUCAUUUCAACACGAAAUUCACUUUAGUUAAACUGAAGUCAGCUGAGCUCUCACAGGUCCUCCUGAUCUCCAUGCAGACUUAAGGACCAGCGUGUUUUUUCCUCUUAUGUAAUUCCUUCUGUGAAUGUGUUAUACUGGGGGAUUUUAGAGUACGCUUCCAGUAAUGUAUAGCAGCUGUGGAGACUGGAGAAUCUUCUGCAGCUAAACCGGGAAGAAAAAAAACAACGUGAAAACAACCUGAAGUAAUUUAUUGCGUUAAAGAAAUUGAAGUAACAUCUGCAAUACAGUAAUCAGCCAAGUAAUGCUUCGAUCCUCAUCAUAAAUUUAGUUUGUACAAAUCAUCCAUUGAUUGUAAUUGAGCAUAAUAGACAUACUUUCCAACAGCCCUGUCUGCUAUUUUUAGAAUUGCUUUCUAUAAAAUGAUCUACACCACUGCUUUGCCUGAGGGGUUUUGUGGAUUGUGUCCCAUGCUGCCUUCCCACCAGAGCUUUUGAUUUUAUAGGAUAGGGUCUGCUGUGAGAUUCCCUGGGGCCAAACAGCGAUAAGAAAAGGAUCUCAGUGAAUUCCUGUUUGAGACGGGACUGAAGGGCUUUUCCCACUUGUCCCUGGCUCCUUCCUGGAAGGGGAUGAGGAAAAUAAG
Long non-coding RNA from Oxyura jamaicensis (ruddy duck), 1675 nucleotides. RefSeq lists it as uncharacterized. The transcript has 2 exons. NCBI's taxonomy places the organism in Eukaryota, Metazoa, Chordata, Aves, Anseriformes, Anatidae. The record is from RefSeq and is a predicted model, not a curated record.